ACGCGGGUGCGGAUGGGAGCUUAGGCUCGUGGUGGCUGUAAGGCGUGAUUGGUUGUGGUAUGUCAGGUGGCAUGACUGGCCAAUGGAACGGGGUUUUGGACAGAAAGAUCUAGAUGCAAGCUCAGCGUUUUGAACUAGAAACUUCUGGGGAGUGACGUCAGCGUCUGGGUCUUUGGUUGUGAUUGGUUGUGGUAUGUCAGGUGGCAUGACUGGCCAAUGGAAGGGGAUUUUGGACAGAAAGAUCUAGAUGCAAGCUCAGCGUUGGGCUAGAAACUUCUGGGGAGUGACAUCAGCGUCUGGGUUCUUUCGCACGCAACUUUUCUAGAGUAAAGUUGACUAAAGUCAGCUCAAAGCUGUCUAAAGUCUUCACUGCAAUCCUGCCUGAGAAGUGUGUCGACUUAACAGUUGAUUUCAGAGGUGCGUUGACCCGCUCUAUAACGGAGUAUAGUGCUUCAGUACGGCAGCCGUUUGAUGAAACCGGUAAAAGCUGCAUCUGGUGAAGGCGUGAUUGGCUGUGGUAUGUCACGUGACAUGACUGGCCAAUGGAACGGGGCUUUGGACAGAAAGAUCUAGAUGCAAGCUCAGCAGUUUGAGCUAGAAACACGGCAAGACCGGAGCAAGAACGCCACUAGUGAGUUUGUGGUAAACAAGACAGUGCCAGAGUCUCUGCACUGGAGAGCUGCAGUUGAGUCGCUUCGACCCAGAGGGACGAAAGAGCAGGGGUGACACACGGCAAGACCGGAGCAAGAACGCCACGAGUGAGUCUGUGGUAAACAACUAAACAAGACAGUGCCAGGGUCUCUGCGCUGGGGACAGAGAAGCCGCUUUAACUGACCGUGACCCAAACAGUUCUGGGACGUCGAACAGAGGAGGCCUCCACUUGCACGUGACUUUUGGUAACGAGAUAAGUGAUCAAAAACCUCUCGCGUGGAUGGUACAGAUGCAAAGAAUUGGUUGAAAAGAAUCAUACGGCGAAUCUCGACCGACAAGGUUUUAUAACUGUUAAGGACAAAGAGGAGAAAAGUGUGCUUUCAACGGGCUUUCAAAGGUGCAGACCAUGAUAUGCAAAGCUGUACAGAAGAACAAUGGGUGCAUCAAGGCUUCAGAUAACAUCAUCGAAAGAAGCAGCAACAGAAAGAGUCAACCUCCGUAUACCAAACAACUGUAUACCUCGCCCCCACCCCUGCAACCAGUUCAUCACCUAUUUUCUGAUGGAAAAAGGAGACUUACAACAAACUGAAAUUAAAAACUGACAUUGUUAUUAUCCUCAUCUUCAAUUAAGGCCAGGCACCUGAGAAGCUGUACUGAAGAACAAUGGGUGCAUCAAGGCUUCAGAUAACAUCAUCGAAAGAAGCAGCAACAGAAAGAGUCAACCUCCGUAUACCAAACAACUGUAUACCUCGCCCCCACCCCUGCAACCAGUUCAUCACCUAUUUUCUGAUGGAAAAAGGAGACUUACAACAAACUGAAAUUAAAAACUGACAUUGUUAUUAUCCUCAUCUUCAAUUAAGGCCAGGCACCUGAGGUAAAAAAAAUUUUGUUUUUGUUUUUAUGGAAUAGCACAGAUUUUUGUAGUCACCUUAAUUUAUAAAACAUUUGGUCUCCACAUCUGUACUACACUAGUUGCCCUUCAUAAUUCGCAAAAAACGCACUCUUCUUUCAUAAGGUCUUUUGAUACUUAUCUCUUUCUUUAACCAGAGGCUUGAUCUUCUAGUAUUGUGCAUAGCUCUAUUUCUCUCUCUCUCCUCUUUUGAGUGUGAGAGAGAGACAUAAACUGACUUUUGUAUUACACCAAAGAAUGGCUUUCAGGUCUUGCAAUUAUUAUUACUUAGAUUUCUAGAAAACUUGGAACAUUAACAUUAACGGUGCCUGUUAUCAGCACCUUAAAGAGAUUUUUUAAGUUAUCUAAAUACGCCAGAUAUGCAUCAAAAUUAACUCUUUGAUUGUUUAUUACUUGAAUAGUAAUACAUGUAUCUCAGAAAAUAGACAAGACCAAAGAUUCAUAAAUAAUACCUCUUUCCUACCGUACACGAGAAAAACUAACGCAUUGAUGGCUAUCACUAAGGUCCUUAAAAAUGCAUUAAAGGUCCUCCUCAUCAGGUCCUUACCUGGCA
This 2114-nucleotide long non-coding RNA is filed under the name Pomacea canaliculata. RNAcentral's name for it is "uncharacterized LOC112567251, transcript variant X2". Lineage: Eukaryota; Metazoa; Mollusca; Gastropoda; Architaenioglossa; Ampullariidae. The record is from RNAcentral.